This 216-nucleotide ribosomal RNA is filed under the name Campeiostachys nutans. RNAcentral describes it as "Elymus nutans partial small subunit ribosomal RNA". The stretch from base 38 to 216 matches the Rfam family "Eukaryotic small subunit ribosomal RNA", at positions 684 to 864 of the family's 1831-position model. The record is from RNAcentral. Lineage: Eukaryota; Viridiplantae; Streptophyta; Magnoliopsida; Poales; Poaceae.
GGAUCAAUAUGCUGGUCGUGCCUUUGGAACGCACUGGUAUUAUCGGUUUCUCCUUUCUGAAGAAUCACGAUGUCAUUAAUUUGGUGUCGUGAGGAAUCAGGACUGUUACUUUGAAAAAAUUAGAGUGUUUAAAGCAGGCUUACGCUUGAAUACAUUAGCAUGGAAUAACGGAAUAGGACGUUUGAUUCUAUUUUGUUGGUUUCUAGGAUCGACGUA